Molecule: ribosomal RNA, 253 nt
Filed under: uncultured bacterium
Lineage: Bacteria
Description: partial 16S ribosomal RNA
Rfam family: Bacterial small subunit ribosomal RNA
Source: RNAcentral
UACGUAGGGUGCGAGCGUUGUUCGGAAUUACUGGGCGUAAAGAGCUUGUAGGUGGCUCUGCAAGUCAGAUGUGAAAGCCUGGGGCUCAACCCCAGAAGUGCAUCUGAAACUGCAGAGCUUGAGUAUGGGAGAGGGUGACGGAAUUCCUGGUGUAGCGGUGAAAUGCGUAGAUAUCAGGAGGAACAUCGGUGGCGAAGGCGGUUGCCUGGCCCAAUACUGACACUGAGAAGCGAAAGCGUGGGGAUCAAACAGG